AGCGAACGCUGGCGGCGUGCUUAACACAUGCAAGUCGAGGGAGAACGGAGGGCUUCGGCCUCCCUAGUAAACCGGCGCACGGGUGAGUAACACGUAGGUAACCUACCUCCGAGACCGGGAUAACCUGUCGAAAGAUAGGCUAAUACCGGAUAAGACCACGAUGGUUUCGGCCACUGCGGUCAAAGAUGGCCUCUGCUUGCAAGCUAUCACUUGGAGAUGGGCCUGCGCGCCAUAGCUAGUUGGUGGGGUAACGGCUCACCAAGGCUACGAUGGCUAGUUGGUCUGAGAGGAUGACCAGCCACACUGGGACUGAGACACGGCCCAGACUCCUACGGGAGGCAGCAGUGGGGAAUAUUGCGCAAUGGGGAAAACCCUGACGCAGCGACGCCGCGUGGGGGAUG
Molecule: ribosomal RNA, 401 nt
Filed under: uncultured bacterium
Lineage: Bacteria
Description: bacterial SSU rRNA
Rfam family: Bacterial small subunit ribosomal RNA
Source: RNAcentral